GAUGAACGCUGGCGGCGUGCCUAAUACAUGCAAGUCGAGCGAACAGAUGAGGAGCUUGCUCCUCUGACGUUAGCGGCGGACGGGUGAGUAACACGUGGAUAACCUACCUAUAAGACUGGGAUAACUUCGGGAAACCGGAGCUAAUACCGGAUAAUAUAUUGAACCGCAUGGUUCAAUAGUUAAAGACGGUUUUGCUGUCACUUAUAGAUGGAUCCGCGCCGCAUUAGCUAGUUGGUAAGGUAACGGCUUACCAAGGCAACGAUGCGUAGCCGACCUGAGAGGGUGAUCGGCCAGACUGGAACAGAGACACGGUCCAGACUACUACGGGAGGCAGCAGUAGGGAAUCUUGCGCGAAGGGCGAAAGCCUGACGGAGCAACGCCGCGUGAGUGAUGAAGGUCUACGGAUCGUAAAACUCUGUUAUUAGGGAAGAACAAAUGUGUAAGUAACUAUGCACGUCUUGACGGUACCUAAUCAGAAAGCCACGGCUAACUACGUG
RNAcentral lists this ribosomal RNA (497 nucleotides) under uncultured bacterium. RNAcentral describes it as "partial 16S ribosomal RNA". It matches the Rfam family "Bacterial small subunit ribosomal RNA", at positions 28 to 507 of the family's 1533-position model. The record is from RNAcentral.